RNAcentral lists this ribosomal RNA (378 nucleotides) under uncultured Planctomycetota bacterium. RNAcentral's name for it is "bacterial SSU rRNA". It matches the Rfam family "Bacterial small subunit ribosomal RNA", at positions 521 to 896 of the family's 1533-position model. The record is from RNAcentral. Lineage: Bacteria; Pseudomonadati; Planctomycetota.
UAAUACGGAGGGUACAAACGUUGUUCGGAAUCACUGGGCAUAAAGCGCGCGUAGGCGGUCUACCCAGUUAGGUGUGAAAGCCCUCGGCUCAACCGAGGAAUUGCAUCUAAUACUAGUAGGCUUGAGGAUGGUAGGGGUGUGUGGAACUUCAGGUGGAGCGGUGAAAUGCGUAGAUAUCUGAAGGAACACCUGUGGCGAAAGCGGCACACUGGAUCAUUUCUGACGCUGAGGCGCGAAAGCUAGGGUAGCGAACGGGAUUAGAUACCCCGGUAGUCCUAGCCGUAAACGAUGGGCACUAGGUAAGGGGAGAACCUGUUUCUCUCUUUGCCGUAGCUAAUGUGUUAAGUGCCCCGCCUGGGGAGUACGCUCGCAAGGGUA